CAAUAGCGUAUAUUAAAGUUGUUGCAGUUAAAAAGCUCGUAGUUGAAUUUUUGCUUGCCGCCGAUGUCGGAACUUCCGUACGUUCGGCGGCGUGCAUCCUUGGGUGGAACCUGUGUGGCAUUAGGUUGUCGUGCAGGGGAUGCUCAUCGUUUACUGUGAAAAAAUUAGAGUGUUCAAAGCAGGCUUACGCCGUUGAAUAUAUUAGCAUGGAAUAAUAAGAUAGGACCUUGGUACUAUUUUGUUGGUUUGCGCACCGAGGUAAUGAUUAACAGGGACAGUUGGGGGUAUCCGUAUUCCAUUGUCAGAGGUGAAAUUCUUGGAUUUCUGGAAGACGAACUACUGCGAAAGCAUUUACCAAGGAUGUUUUCAUUAA
RNAcentral lists this ribosomal RNA (373 nucleotides) under uncultured eukaryote. RNAcentral describes it as "partial 18S ribosomal RNA". It matches the Rfam family "Eukaryotic small subunit ribosomal RNA", at positions 592 to 976 of the family's 1831-position model. The record is from RNAcentral.